UAUUUCUGUGCGUUUCAGGCGAGACUCCGUACAAAUGUUCGCAGCCUAAAUGCGAUGCCAAAUUUGUCACAUCCUCUGAACUGAAGAAACACAUGCGGCGACUUCACCCAGAGGGGAACAGCGGCGUGCAGUGCCUGCUCUGUGGAAACAGAUUUGCCAGCGUGAAGAACAUGAUCAAACACCAGGACAAAGCUCACGCCGACGAAGUUCGGCAACACAAGGAGAGAGCCCGAGCCGUGGUCCUGCUGUCCACCAGCCAUCCCGUGGCCUUCGUCCAGAGCAAGCUCUCCCAGGAGAACAAAGGUUUGGGCUCCAUCCCUGAGUGCGAGCCGGCCAACCCUGAACCGGCCACUCCCAACCCUAAAGCCACCGACCCCGCCGCGGUUUCCUCUGAUGCCACCACCACUGACUCUGCUACAACCACGACCGCCACCAGCGUGACUGCUGACAGCGCCACGGAUGCCGCCGCCAUCAUCCAGGACUUCAAGGCAGAGCCCACACACCCCCCUCUCACCACCGCAGAGCAGGUGACCUUCGACGCCGAUCAGGAGCAGACCAUCAACUCGGACACGCUGCACGCGCUGGUGGAGCAGCUGCGGCCGCCGCCUUCACCCGCACAGACGCUGGAGCAGAUUGUCAUCAUCAAGACGGUGGAUAACAUGGACAACAUGCCCCCUCAGCAGUGA
Molecule: long non-coding RNA, 686 nt
Filed under: Oreochromis niloticus (Nile tilapia)
Lineage: Eukaryota; Metazoa; Chordata; Actinopteri; Cichliformes; Cichlidae
Description: lncRNA (ENSONIG00000027419.1)
Source: RNAcentral